GAUGAACGCUGGCGGCGUGCCUAAUACAUGCAAGUCGAGCGAACAGACGAGGAGCUUGCUCCUCUGACGUUAGCGGCGGACGGGUGAGUAACACGUGGAUAACCUACCUAUAAUACUGGGAUAACUUCGGGAAACCGGAGCUAAUACCGGAUAAUAUAUUGAACCGCAUGGUUCAAUAGUGAAAGACGGUUUUGCUGUCACUUAUAGAUGGAUCCGCGCCGCAUUAGCUAGUUGGUAAGGUAACGGCUUACCAAGGCAACGAUGCGUAGCCGACCUGAGAGGGGGAUCGGCGACACUGGAACUGAGACACGGUCAAGACGCCUACGGGAGGCAGCAGUAGGGAAUCUUCGGCAAUGGGCGAAAGCAUGACGGAGCAAGGCCGCGUGAGUGAUGAAGGCCUUCGGAUCGUAAAGCUCUGUUAUUGGGGAAGAACAAAUGUGGAAGUAAACAUGGAGGUCUUGACGGUACCGAAUCAAAAAGCAACGGCUAACUACGUG
RNAcentral lists this ribosomal RNA (497 nucleotides) under uncultured bacterium. RNAcentral's name for it is "partial 16S ribosomal RNA". It matches the Rfam family "Bacterial small subunit ribosomal RNA", at positions 28 to 507 of the family's 1533-position model. The record is from RNAcentral.